AUUAUUUUGGCAGAUUAGUGCAAUGAAUUUAGAAUUCAUGUAUGUAAUUAUUUUAC
Molecule: transfer RNA, 56 nt
Filed under: Abax parallelepipedus inferior
Lineage: Eukaryota; Metazoa; Arthropoda; Insecta; Coleoptera; Carabidae
Description: tRNA-Leu
Source: RNAcentral